UGGGGAAUAUUGGGCAAUGGGCGCAAGCCUGACCCAGCAACGCCGCGUGAAGGAAGAAGGCUUUCGGGUUGUAAACUUCUUUUCUUGGGGACGAAGCAAGUGACGGUACCCAAGGAAUAAGCCACGGCUAACUACGUGCCAGCAGCCGCGGUAAUACGUAGGUGGCAAGCGUUAUCCGGAUUUAUUGGGUGUAAAGGGCGUGUAGGCGGGACUGCAAGUCAGAUGUGAAAACUAUGGGCUCAACUCAUAGCCUGCAUUUGAAACUGUAGUUCUUGAGUGCUGGAGAGGCAAUCGGAAUUCCGUGUGUAGCGGUGAAAUGCGUAGAUAUCACGAAGAACUCCGAUUGCGAAGGCAGCCUGCUAAGCUGCAACUGACAUUGAGGCUCGAAAGUGUGGGUAUCAAACAGGAUUAGAUACCC
Molecule: ribosomal RNA, 418 nt
Filed under: uncultured bacterium
Lineage: Bacteria
Description: bacterial SSU rRNA
Rfam family: Bacterial small subunit ribosomal RNA
Source: RNAcentral